CUUUACUGUAGCCUGGUAUUGGGUUCGGGCUUUGACUGCGCAGGAUAGGUGGGAGACUAUGAAGCUGCCCUUGUGGGGGCAGUGGAGUCAUCAGUGAGAUACCACUCUGUCAAGGCUAGAAUUCUAACCGUCUGCCGUUAUCCGGCGACGGAACAGUAUCAGGUGGGCAGUUUGACUGGGGCGGUCGCCUCCUAAAUGGUAACGGAGGCGCGCAAAGGUUCCCUCAGGCUGGGUGGAAAUCAGCCGAAGAGUGUAAAGGCAGAAGGGAGCUUGACUGCAAGAGCAACAACUCAAGCAGGGACGAAAGUCGGCCUUAGUGAUCCGACGGCGCUGAGUGGAAGGGCCGUCGCUCAACGGAUAAAAGUUA
RNAcentral lists this ribosomal RNA (367 nucleotides) under uncultured organism. Its description in RNAcentral is "bacterial LSU rRNA". It matches the Rfam family "Bacterial large subunit ribosomal RNA", at positions 2099 to 2465 of the family's 2925-position model. The record is from RNAcentral.